CGCAAAACUACCCACUAAUAAAUCCCCUGGACCGGACGGUCUCACAAACAACUACUAUAAAUUAUUUGCAGCUACACUUUCCCUGCACCUAUUAAAACUGUACAGACAGAGCAGUGAAAGAGGAGCCUUACCGGCAGAAAUACUCCUGGCCCAUAUUUCCACCCUCCCUAAGCCCGGGAAACCACCGACCCACUGCAAGAAUUUCAGAGCUAUA
Non-coding RNA from Pelobates cultripes (western spadefoot toad), 214 nucleotides. Lineage: Eukaryota; Metazoa; Chordata; Amphibia; Anura; Pelobatidae. The record is from the annotation of a GenBank genome assembly.